CCUACGGGUGGCAGCAGUGGGGAAUAUUGGACAAUGGGCGAAAGCCUGAUCCAGCCAUGCCGCGUGUGUGAAGAAGGCCUUCGGGUUGUAAAGCACUUUCAGUGGGGAAGAAAGCCUUGGGGCUAAUACCCUCGAGGAAGGACAUCACCCACAGAAGAAGCACCGGCUAACUCCGUGCCAGCAGCCGCGGUAAUACGGAGGGUGCGAGCGUUAAUCGGAAUUACUGGGCGUAAAGCGCGCGUAGGCGGUCUGAUAAGCCGGUUGUGAAAGCCCCGGGCUCAACCUGGGAACGGCAUCCGGACUGUCAGGCUUGAGGGCAGGGGAGGAAGGUAAAAUUCCCGGUGUAGCGGUGAAAUUCGUAGAGAUCGGGAGGAAUACCAGUGGCGAAGGCGGCCUUCUGGACUGACACUGACGCUGAGGUGCCAAAGGGUGGGUAGCAAACCGGAUUAGGUACCCCUGUAGUC
Molecule: ribosomal RNA, 464 nt
Filed under: Vreelandella stevensii
Lineage: Bacteria; Pseudomonadati; Pseudomonadota; Gammaproteobacteria; Oceanospirillales; Halomonadaceae
Description: partial 16S ribosomal RNA
Rfam family: Bacterial small subunit ribosomal RNA
Source: RNAcentral